AUCGCUUCUCGGCCUUUUUGGCUAAGAUCAAGUGUAGUAUCUGUUCUUAUCAGUUUAAUAUCUGAUACGUCCUCUAUCCGAGGACAAUAUAUUAAGUGGAUUUUUGGAGCAGGGAGAUGGAAUAGGAGCUUGCUCCGUCCACUCCGCGCAUCGACCUGGUAUUGCAGUACCUCCAGGAACGGUGCACCCCCU
Molecule: small nuclear RNA, 192 nt
Filed under: Canis lupus familiaris (dog)
Lineage: Eukaryota; Metazoa; Chordata; Mammalia; Carnivora; Canidae
Description: U2 spliceosomal RNA (ENSCAFG00845011119.1)
Rfam family: U2 spliceosomal RNA
About the family: U2 is a small nuclear RNA (snRNA) component of the spliceosome (involved in pre-mRNA splicing).
Source: Rfam by way of RNAcentral